RNAcentral lists this microRNA precursor (199 nucleotides) under Oryza barthii. RNAcentral describes it as "MIR812 microRNA precursor family". It matches the Rfam family "MIR812 microRNA precursor family". Lineage: Eukaryota; Viridiplantae; Streptophyta; Magnoliopsida; Poales; Poaceae. The record is from Rfam by way of RNAcentral.
UUUAAUUGCAGUUGUGGGUUUUAGUGUUUAAUGUUUAUCCGUCUUAUUUAAAUUAUUUUAUAAUUACUAUUUAUAUUGUUAUUAGAUGAUAAAAUAUGAAUAUUACUCAUGCAUGAAUCAAGUUUUUAUUUUUUUAUAAUUUCUUUAAAUAAGACAGACGGUUAAACGUUUGGUACCGAAACCCACAACUGUACUAAAA